GAAAUGCGAUACGUCGUGUGAAUUGCAGAAUUAUGUGAAACACGAAUAUUCGAACGUACAUGACUCUCUCCUUUCGGAGAGAAUACUUUUUUGAGCCUCGUAAUCAAUAUUGAUCCAUAAAAUUUAUUUUUUGGGUUUUAUGAAAGAUGAAUUAUUUUUUGUAAUAAUAAUUCACCUUUUCAAAAUGAUGGGAGUAGACAUUGGAAUUUGAAGAUUACGCACUCGUUGAAAUUUUAUUAGUAUUGAGCUCCUUCGGGACUUAAUCGAAAAUUUUUGAGAGCAUUUAUUUUUCUAUUUCAAUAUCCCUAUCUUACAGAGUCUAAACAACUCACUUUUUUAAAUCUCGAGCUCAAAUAAAGUAAGGCUACCCGCUGAAUUUAA
RNAcentral lists this unclassified non-coding RNA (381 nucleotides) under uncultured fungus. RNAcentral's name for it is "sequence contains ITS1". The stretch from base 1 to 100 matches the Rfam family "5.8S ribosomal RNA", at positions 50 to 154 of the family's 154-position model. Lineage: Eukaryota; Fungi. The record is from RNAcentral.